GAGUUUGAUCAUGGCUCAGAUUGAACGCUGGCGGCAUGCCUUACACAUGCAAGUCGAACGGCAGCACGGGAGCUUGCUCCUGGUGGCGAGUGGCGAACGGGUGAGUAAUGCAUCGGAACGUAUCCUGGAGUGGGGGAUAACGUAGCGAAAGUUACGCUAAUACCGCAUAUUCUGUGAGCAGGAAAGCGGGGGACCUUCGGGCCUCGCGCUCUUGGAGCGGCCGAUGUCGGAUUAGCUAGUUGGUGAGGUAAAGGCUACACCAAGGCGACGAUCCGUAGCAGGUCUGAGAGGAUGAUCUGCCACACUGGAACUGAGACACGGUCCAGACUCCUACGGGAGGCAGCAGUGGGGAAUUUUGGACAAUGGGGGCAACCCGUGAUCCAGCCAUGCCGCGUGAGUGAAGAAGGCCUGG
Molecule: ribosomal RNA, 412 nt
Filed under: bacterium enrichment culture clone ALO1_GLFRUDD03F2J66
Lineage: Bacteria
Description: bacterial SSU rRNA
Rfam family: Bacterial small subunit ribosomal RNA
Source: RNAcentral